CAUCUGUAAAACUCGGGACCUCUUCAGUGUUGAAGAAAGAAGCAUCAUGGUUUUCUGUGAUGCAUUUGCUUGUUUGGUGCUUGGGGAUGUUUGAGGCAGAUUUGUAACCGCCGUUUUGAGGCCAGCUUGCUGGUACCCAAACAGCGUUAGCUUCUUUUGUCUUGGACAAUUAGAACAAUCAAACCAAUUUGAGUAUGGUUUACGGGCAUUUAUUGGUUCGAUCUGAUUGUAAGUUACGGUCGCAUGCGACACGUGCUUUUCAUUUAGAUCGGUCCAGUUAAUGCUCUCGUACUCGCUCCCCAUGUAAAAGCCGGUCAUCUAUCCGACCCGUCUUGAAACACGGACCAAGGAGUUUAUCGUGUGCGCAAGUUUUUGGGUGUUAAAAACCUAAAAGCGAAAUGAAAGUAAAUGGCUCUUUAGAGUCUGACGUGCGAUCUUGUAAAAAAGGGCAGCAUGGCCCCAUUCUAACUGUUUACAGUAGGGUGGAGGAAGAGCGUACGCGGUGAGACCCGAAAGAUGGUGAACUAUUCCUGAGCAGGACGAAGCCAGUGGAAGUCCGAAGCGGUUCUGACGUGCAAAUCGAUCGUCUGACUUGGGUAUAGGGGCGAAAGACUAAUCGAACCAUCAGCGGA
This 632-nucleotide ribosomal RNA is filed under the name Meloidogyne enterolobii. RNAcentral describes it as "partial large subunit ribosomal RNA". It matches the Rfam family "Eukaryotic large subunit ribosomal RNA", at positions 444 to 954 of the family's 3401-position model. The record is from RNAcentral. Lineage: Eukaryota; Metazoa; Nematoda; Chromadorea; Rhabditida; Meloidogynidae.